This 47-nucleotide ribosomal RNA is filed under the name Gnetum gnemon. RNAcentral's name for it is "partial 5.8S ribosomal RNA". The record is from RNAcentral. Lineage: Eukaryota; Viridiplantae; Streptophyta; Gnetopsida; Gnetales; Gnetaceae.
ACCACGACUCUCGACAAUGGAUAUCUCAGCUCUCAUUUCGAUGAAGA